CCUACGGGGGGCAGCAGUGGGGAAUAUUGGACAAUGGGGGGAACCCUGAUCCAGCCAUGCCGCGUGUGUGAAGAAGGCCCUCGGGUUGUAAAGCACUUUCAGUGAGGAAGAACGCCUGGUGGUUAAUACCCAUCAGGAAAGACAUCACUCACAGAAGAAGCACCGGCUAACUCCGCGCCAGCAGCCGCGGUAAUACGGAGGGUGCGAGCGUUAAUCGGAAUUACUGGGCGUAAAGCGCGCGUAGGUGGCUUGAUAAGCCGGUUGUGAAAGCCCCGGGCUCAACCUGGGAACGGCAUCCGGAACUGUCAAGCUAGAGUGCAGGAGAGGAAGGUAGAAUUCCCGGUGUAGCGGUGAAAUGUGUAGAGAUCGGGAGGAAUACCAGUGGCGAAGGCGGCCUUCUGGACUGACACUGACACUGAGGUGCGAAAGCGUGGGUAGCAAACAGGAUUAGAUACCCUUGUAGUC
This 465-nucleotide ribosomal RNA is filed under the name Vreelandella stevensii. RNAcentral's name for it is "partial 16S ribosomal RNA". It matches the Rfam family "Bacterial small subunit ribosomal RNA", at positions 338 to 795 of the family's 1533-position model. The record is from RNAcentral. Lineage: Bacteria; Pseudomonadati; Pseudomonadota; Gammaproteobacteria; Oceanospirillales; Halomonadaceae.